AGAGUUUGAUCCUGGCUCAGAUUGAACGCUGGCGGCAGGCCUAACACAUGCAAGUCGAGCGGAAACAGGAGAGUAGCUUGCUACUUUCGCUGUCGAGCGGCGGACGGGUGAGUAAUGCCUAGAUAUCUGCCUAGUCGUGGGGGAUAACAGUUGGAAACGACUGCUAAUACCGCAUACGCCCUACGGGGGAAAGGAGGGGACCUUCGGGCCUUUCGCGAUUAGAUGAGUCUAGGUGGGAUUAGCUAGUAGGUGAGGUAAUGGCUCACCUAGGCGACGAUCCCUAGCUGUUCUGAGAGGAUGAUCAGCCACACUGGGACUGAGACACGGCCCAGACUCCUACGGGAGGCAGCAGUGGGGAAUCUUAGACAAUGGGCGCAAGCCUGAUCUAGCCAUGCCGCGUGAGUGAUGAAGGCCUUAGGGUCGUAAAGCUCUUUCGCCAGAGAUGAUAAUGACAGUAUCUGGUAAAGAAACCCCGGCUAACUCCGUGCCAGCAGCCGCGGUAAUACGGAGGGGGUUAGCGUUGUUCGGAAUUACUGGGCGUAAAGCGUACGUAGGCGGAUUAGUCAGUUAGAGGUGAAAUCCCAGGGCUCAACCCUGGAACUGCCUUUAAUACUGCUAGUCUUGAGUUCGAGAGAGGUGAGUGGAAUUCCGAGUGUAGAGGUGAAAUUCGUAGAUAUUCGGAGGAACACCAGUGGCGAAGGCGGCUCACUGGCUCGAUACUGACGCUGAGGUACGAAAGUGUGGGGAGCAAACAGGAUUAGAUACCCUGGUAGUCCACACCGUAAACGAUGAAUGCCAGUCGUCGGGUAGCAUGCUAUUCGGUGACACACCUAACGGAUUAAGCAUUCCGCCUGGGGAGUACGGUCGCAAGAUUAAAACUCAAAGGAAUUGACGGG
RNAcentral lists this ribosomal RNA (896 nucleotides) under uncultured bacterium. Its description in RNAcentral is "bacterial SSU rRNA". It matches the Rfam family "Bacterial small subunit ribosomal RNA", at positions 8 to 917 of the family's 1533-position model. The record is from RNAcentral.